This 216-nucleotide ribosomal RNA is filed under the name Epichrysomalla sp. 2082_06. Its description in RNAcentral is "partial 28S ribosomal RNA". It matches the Rfam family "Eukaryotic large subunit ribosomal RNA", at positions 967 to 1163 of the family's 3401-position model. Lineage: Eukaryota; Metazoa; Arthropoda; Insecta; Hymenoptera; Epichrysomallidae. The record is from RNAcentral.
UUUCCCUCAGGAUAGCUGGCACUCGCUUGAGCGAGUCUCAUCUGGUAAAGCGAAUGAUUAGAGGCCUUGGGGCCGAAACGACCUCAACCUAUUCUCAAACUUUAAAUGGGUGAGAUCUCUGGCUUGCUUGAACAUUAUUAUGAAGCCACGAGAUAAUUGAAAUGGAUCAGAGUGCCAAGUGGGCCAAUUUUGGUAAGCAGAACUGGCGCUGUGGGA